RNA transcript from Dunckerocampus dactyliophorus (ringed pipefish), 2084 nucleotides. RefSeq lists it as uncharacterized. The transcript is spliced from 5 exons. The record is from RefSeq and is a predicted model, not a curated record. NCBI's taxonomy places the organism in Eukaryota, Metazoa, Chordata, Actinopteri, Syngnathiformes, Syngnathidae.
AAGAAUGGUGGGGGUCUCAUGUUUCCUGGGGAACAGGAUCUGCUUGGGGCGAUGAAGAAACAUAUCUGAUGGGGGUGUUUUCUGGUAACUAUGAUCAUUAGGUUGGGCCCCGUGGUUCACAUGAGAUCAUUUUAAUACUCGCGGCAUUUUUGUAGUAGAUGGGGAUUUCCUGGGCGUGAUCUAUGGGGGUCUCUCAAGCAAAAAGAAAGAAUGGUGGGGUGCUGUCUCGGGUGUGUGAAAUAUAUAAUAUCAAUAGGGUGUCUCGUUUUCCCACGGGAGAAGACAAUGUGCUUGUAGUUUUAAAAAACAUAUCUCAUGGGGGUGUUUUUUAGGUAACUAUAAUCAAUAGCGGGGGCCUCAUGGCUCCCGUGUCAAUAGCGGGGGCCCAUGGUUCACAUGAGAUCAUUUUAAUACCAUUUUUAUAGUAGAUGGGGGUUUCUUUGGACUGAUCCGUGGCGGGGUCUUUUUUAGCUAGCUCUAAUCAAUACUAGGGGCCUCAUGGUUUGUAUAAAAAAGACAAUGUGAUUGAGGCUUUAAAAAACAUAUCUGGCACUUAAACAUUCCUCCCCUAUUGUAUAAAAUGGUAUAAAAGGCAGGUGUCGACGGUAGGUUUCCAGAUCACUCGCAAAAAUCAGCGAACAACGUCAAGACAGAGAGUUUGAACACAGAGCCUGGAGACGACUACAAGACAUCGGACAUUGACAUGGGCUGUUGCAUGUACGAGAGCUGCAUCUUCACCAAUUGAAGUGAUCGAUCUGACUUCACCGCCACCAGUGGCCCUAGUGUCACCGGUCCAAAACCCAAUGCAGGGAUUUAAUGUGGACUUUAUAACGCCUCAAAACCAGGCACAAGGAUUUGCAGAGGGCGAUCGCUCUACGAUAGACGGGGGAGUUUGGGGACAGACUUCGGGAUUCGUGGAAAACACUUUAACACCGCCGGUCCAAAACCCACUGCAUUUUAUUGUGGGGUUUACAAGUCCAAACUCAAGUCACGGGAUUGCGCCACUGACCCCCUCAACGCUGGAUGUGACAGAGGGAGAAAACGACACAGAAUUCGAGGAAAACACAGCAGAGUCCGAUGUGGGACAAGAAACGGGACAGGAGGAGACAUCUGACGCUGGAGUCUACAACCAGGAAAGAUUUCAUUAUUUUCCAGAUAGUGAAAGUGAAUAUGUUGACAUGCAAGCUCUAAAUCAGAGGGAUAUAGUCUCAGACAAUGAUGGAAUUGAAACAGUGGAUUUCAACACCUCUGUGCUAAUUGUCGAACAAGUGUUCAGAAGAUACAUGUAUGAUAUAGCAUGUUUAAAUCGCCGCAUGAUUGAGAAUAUAUAUAAUCAACUUAGACAGAACGUUAGACGCAGGCAUUCUGUCAAUUCAUAUUCAGCUAACGCUAGACGUGCCACUCGUGAACAAAGAACACUGCCACAAAGAGUCCAUCGCAGGUUGCAAUUUGAAGACUAAUUUUUGAUCGGGUGAUAAAGACAAAUGGCUGAACCAGAUCACAACAAUUCCCCUGAAAUUAGAGAGCAUCUCCUCCACUUGAUCUCUGAGAUAAACCGAGAAAGAUCCGAAGGCGGGGCUAAUCAGGGUUCUCCCCGAAACAGUCCAAUUCUGCCUCAGCAUGAUUCACCUGAAAGAGGGGGAGAAGUUUUUCUUCCAUCCCCUGAUGAGCUAAUUUCCUUGCUCCAAAUGUACAGAUACCCCUCCCCCGUUCCGCAUAGCAGUGCGGAAUCAGAUCACAACAAUUCCCCUGAAAUUAGAGAGCAUCUUCUCCAGUUGAUCUCAGAGAUCAACUGUCAAAGAUCUGAAGGCCGGGCUAAUCAGCCUUCUCCCCAAAAUAGCCCAAUUCAGGCUCGGCAUGAUUCACCUGAAAGAGGGGGAGAAGUUUUUCUUCCAUCCCCUGAUGAGCUAAUUUCCUUACUCCAAAUGUACAGAUACCCCUCCCCCGUUCCUUCGCCCGUAUCGCAAAGCAAUGUUGACUCAGGACCUUGGUCUCCAUCAGACAGUCAGUGUUGUGAUGCACUCAACAGUCAAAUAGAUGACCCGUGGUCUCCAUCAGACAGUCAGUGUUGUGAUGCACUCAAC